AGUGAACGCUGGCGGUAGGCCUAACACAUGCAAGUCGAACGGCAGCACAGUAAGAGCUUGCUCUUACGGGUGGCGAGUGGCGGACGGGUGAGGAAUACAUCGGAAUCUACUUUUUCGUGGGGGAUAACGUAGGGAAACUUACGCUAAUACCGCAUACGACCUACGGGUGAAAGCAUGGGAUCUUCGGACCUUGCGCGAUUGAAUUAGCCGAUGUCGGAUUAGCUAGUUGGCGGGUUAAAGGCCCACCAAGGCGCCGAUCCGUAGCUGGUCUGAGAGGAUGAUCAGCCACACUGGAACUGAGACACGGUCCAGACUCCUACGGGAGGCAGCAGUGGGGGAUAUUGGACAAUGGGCGCAAGCCUGAUCCAGCCAUACCGCGUGGGUGAAGAAGGCCUUCGGGUUGUAAAGCCCUUUUGUUGGGAAAGAAAAGCAGCAGGUUAAUACCCCGCUGUUCUGACGGUACCCAAAGAAUAAGCACCGGCUAACUUCGUG
RNAcentral lists this ribosomal RNA (492 nucleotides) under uncultured bacterium. RNAcentral's name for it is "partial 16S ribosomal RNA". It matches the Rfam family "Bacterial small subunit ribosomal RNA", at positions 29 to 507 of the family's 1533-position model. The record is from RNAcentral.